RNAcentral lists this unclassified non-coding RNA (200 nucleotides) under soil metagenome. Its description in RNAcentral is "partial contains internal transcribed spacer 2 and large subunit ribosomal RNA". The record is from RNAcentral.
UGCCUGUUCGAGCGUCAUAUAAACACAUCCCUCACGGGGUCUUGGGAUCCGCCUCUAGGCGGUCCUUAAAAUCAGUGGCGGUGCGUCUGGCUCUAAGCGUAGUAAUUAUCCUCGCUAUAGAUUUCAGGUGGUUGCUUGCCAAUAACCCCUCAUUUUCAACGUUUGACCUCGGAUCAGGUAGGGAUACCCGCUGAACUUAA